ACUCCUACGGGAGGCAGCAGUGGGGAAUAUGUCACAAUGGGGGAAACCCUGAUGCAGCGACGCCGCGUGAGCGAAGAAGUAUUUCGGUAUGUAAAGCUCUAUCAGCAGGGAAGAAAAAAAUGACGGUACCUGACUAAGAAGCCCCGGCUAACUACGUGCCAGCAGCCGCGGUAAUACGUAGGGGGCAAGCGUUAUCCGGAUUUACUGGGUGUAAAGGGAGCGCAGGCGGUGCGGCAAGUCUGAUGUGAAAGCCCGGGGCUCAACCCCGGGACUGCAUUGGAAACUGUCGUACUUGAGUAUCGGAGAGGUAAGUGGAAUUCCUAGUGUAGCGGUGAAAUGCGUAGAUAUUAGGAGGAACACCAGUGGCGAAGGCGGCUUACUGGACGAUAACUGACGCUGAGGCUCGAAAGCGUGGGGAGCAAACAGGAUUAGAUACCCUGGUAGUCCACGCCGUAAAC
This 458-nucleotide ribosomal RNA is filed under the name uncultured bacterium. RNAcentral's name for it is "bacterial SSU rRNA". It matches the Rfam family "Bacterial small subunit ribosomal RNA", at positions 335 to 807 of the family's 1533-position model. The record is from RNAcentral.